UCUUUCACCGUUUUCAUUCACUCUGUCUUAGGCUCAGUGUCUUAAGUUUUGGAAUGCUAAAAGCAGCUUUUGCUGUGCUUUAUUUCAGGGAGAACAGUUAAGUGGUUCACCUUCAUCAAAAUGGACCAUGUUUGUUCCCAUCAGACAGCUAGAGAGAGAGGAAGGAUUCCUGUUGGCAUGCGCAUUGGUAAAAGUUGGAUCUCACUCUGAACAUAAGGAUCUGAAUUGCAUCUAUUGGCAGGACUAAAAGCAGUGCUAUGUCAAGAUAGUGUAACAACCAGGGAGUUGCAGAUGCCAAGCACAGACCCACUUCUCCAGCGGAAGGCAGUGACAUGACCCAAAUGGAAGCACAAGGCUCAUAUGGUUACAUUCAAUGAUCAGUUCUCCAUGGACGGAUUGUGACCCCCCAGAAAGGUUACAAAGGGAGGAGAAUAAUCCAGAGGCAGUUCAUCUGGAGAGCCAUAAGCAAGGCAAACCGUCUCCAUCCUGCCCUGCACAAAUGAAGCCACCUAUCCUGCUCUCUCUGCAAUAUCGAGUCUGUACUGGGGGGCAUUGCCACAAUGCACGUGGUUUUCAUCACUGCUAAGAAGUUUUCAGUUCUGCCACCAGACGGAAGGAAACGCGCGCACCCAGAUCCCACUCCAGCAGCGCCACAGUCCUGUUGUUUUCUGUUGACUUCUGUGAAACUACCUGUGCUUGAAGAUCACCGUGUGGUUUUGCAUCUCGCUGAACUGAAGCCUAAGCAAACUCCAGAAAGUCAAACUGGGAGAUGCUGGCCGAGCCCAGCACAGCACUCCGGCUUCCUGGCUGUCCACUUCAGGACCCCAAAUUCAAGCUAUUUUGUCCUCAACAGAUUUGCCCCCGAACUGUCUCUAGGACGUGCCCGGCCUCUGUAGGAAAGGUGGGGGCUGCAAGAAGAAUUUUUUCAUGCAGCAUUUCAACAUUUGCGACCCAAACCAGGAAAGCGCGUAAGGGAGGCAACAGAGGAAAGUCAUGGGACCUCAGAAAUGCCAGAGUGAUGUUUGGACAGAGAUCUGGGCUAGAAUUUGGGGUCGUUCUUAUGUUAGUCAAAAAAAGUGCUUCUCCCUCUUAAGAACACAGCUUCCUUUUAAUAAAUGCCAAGGUGGCUUCA
Molecule: long non-coding RNA, 1132 nt
Filed under: Struthio camelus australis
Lineage: Eukaryota; Metazoa; Chordata; Aves; Struthioniformes; Struthionidae
Description: lncRNA (ENSSCUG00000008923.1)
Source: RNAcentral